UUGCGUUCCGAGUAGGGCUUCCUCACCAAACUCAACCACGCCUCUGUUUAUCACAAACUGGAUAGUUUCUCUUUCAAUCUCUUCACCUCCUCUGUUGAUAUCUCUUCCCCUUCUCUAUGCUUCAUUCUCUUUCAUGGAUCUUAUUAAUCACAGUAAUCUCACUUACGAUGUCGUCUUUUCCGUUUCCUUUUCUUCAAAUCUAUAGAUAUCAGUGGGUUGGGUCUAUGAUUGAUCCUCUCAAACCACUUUCUGUUGAUCAUUUUAUGAAGAUUUGAAAGAUUUUAAAAGAUGGCUUUAUCCGGUGUUGUUCUCGCGCACUCAGCCUUUGAUGGUCUUCGCUUCGGUAGAUCCGCCCAGUUCAUAGUUGGCUGUAUGCUCAGUUUUUGGGAUUCUACAAACAUCAGGAAGCAAGGUGAAUUCAUGGGAAUCACCCUCCUCCUCUUUGAUGAGAAGAAUUCUGUGAUACAUGGAUUCAUUCCUGCUAGGUUUUACCAGUCAGAGCUUCUCUUGAAAUUCCGCACCAAUCCAUCUUCUCUCGGUUCUUUGUGGAGGUAGUGACGCCCGAUGGGAUUCCAAGAAUCCAUGAUGUGAAUACCCAAACCCGCUCCAAGAGUUUUUGAGUUAUGCCUUUACGAGGCUAAUGUACCGGGGUUAAGGAAAGUGGCUUCGAGAGCUCAGAUCACUACUUCUCCUCCAUUCGGAUUGGUUCAGGAGGCGGUAAGCUGGUACCGUUGCCGUGGAUAUUGGGUUCCUUUCAAGCUUCAAGACAAUUAUGUAAGUUCUAUUCUUUCUGUGUUUUCUUCUUAUAGCUCCUUUUUAUGUUCUUACCGCUCAAUACGAAGCACAUUGAUACAAUAUGCAUUGUAUACUUAAAGUUGAUGCUUUGAUGGUGACUGUCCACUGUUCAUUAAAAUGGAGUCGAGUAUAAUUUUGCAAGUGAGUAGCAUUUCUUGAGUGGAAUUGAGUUAUUGAAUUUUCAUAUAUUAACUUUCUCGAGUUCCUAGCAACAUAUAGUGUAAGGUAUCAAGAUCGUCUAAAAUGUUAGUUUUGUCUCUGAGAUUAUCACUAAGUAUCAAGCCUUGCAUGUGUUUGUAGUGGGUGAUCUUGUGAUGAGCAUUGUGUAUCAAGAAAUGGAAAUGGAAAUGCAGUCAUUAUAUAUUAAGCAAGGUUUCUCAUUUACUUUAUAACUAACUUAAUAUUGGUCCAACAUAUUAUCUCCGAACCACUCAUCAUUCCGCAUGCAACCUAUAUCUCAAUUCCACGCCUGCAACGAAAUUCUAUUUUGACCCUGAGUAUCAAGCCAUUGCAGAGUUCACAUCUAGCUUAGAAGCCCCAUUAGGAGAAGCUUUUCCCUGCAUCGAUACCAAAGAAGGGAUAAAAAAAGGAAAUUAUCUCAAUCGGAGAGCUAAACAAGUUCAUUCCAAUUCUGACGAGCAGACACAGGAGGCUGAUUUUAUUUGCAAGGGUCGGAUUGUUAAAGUCAUGCAACAAAAUGGGUGGACUUUCAUCUCCUGCACUGGCUGCUGCAGGAAGCUUGACAAAUUUGGACUUCCCUACAUGUUUUUAAUAAAUCUUCAACACAUCUCUAUUUUUUCCGGCCACAUCAUCAACCCUCCACUGUUUUUGUUUCCUUCAUUUUCCUACCGUUUCUUGCAUUUGCUACUUCAGACUUUGCAUUUAAGUUCAGGUUUCAAGGCUUUUGUUUUAUUUCAGACAGUUAUGAUUUUAAUAAUUAUGAAAAUGGGUUGACGAAUUAUUUGGUA
Long non-coding RNA from Raphanus sativus (radish), 1763 nucleotides. RefSeq lists it as uncharacterized. The transcript has 5 exons. NCBI's taxonomy places the organism in Eukaryota, Viridiplantae, Streptophyta, Magnoliopsida, Brassicales, Brassicaceae. The record is from RefSeq and is a predicted model, not a curated record.